This 763-nucleotide ribosomal RNA is filed under the name uncultured Plasmodiophoridae. RNAcentral's name for it is "SSU rRNA". The record is from RNAcentral. Lineage: Eukaryota; Endomyxa; Phytomyxea; Plasmodiophorida.
GCCAGCAGCCGCGGUAAUACCAGCUCCAGUAGUGUAUGCUAAAGUUGUUGCAGUUAAAAAGCUCGUAGUUGUGUUUGUUUCCGGCGGCAUCGGGCGCGCCACGUUAAGGCGCGGCGUGUCUGUGCGGUCGGAAUGAAAUUUUGGGCUGGAUGUCGUGUGGCCUUCACUGGCUGCGCGUCAGGCGGCCCAUCAUUUACUGUGAGAAAAUUAGAGUGUUCAAGGCAGGCGUUUGUAAUUGAAUAUGUUAGCAUGGAAUAAUGAGAUAUGGCUCCCGUUUGUUGGUUUUGUGAUGUGGAAGUAAUGAUUGAUAGGGACGGUUGGGGGUGCUAGUAUUCAGCGGCCAGAGGUGAAAUUCAUGGAUUCGCUGAAGACUGACUUCUGCGAAAGCAUUCACCAAGGACGUCCUCUUUAAUCAAGAACGAAAGUUGGGGGAUCGAAGACGAUCAGAUACCGUCGUAGUCUCAACCAUAAACUAUGUCGACUAGCGAUUGGCAGUUGUUUUUCAUAGACAUUGUCAGGAGCUUGAGAGAAAUCAAAGUGUUUGGACUCUUGGGGAAGUAUGGUCGCAAGACUGAAACUUAAAGGAAUUGACGGAAGGGCACCACCAGGAGUGGAGCCUGCGGCUUAAUUUGACUCAACACGGGAAAUUUUACCASGUCCAGAGAUGUAGAGGAUUGACAGAUUGAAGCUCUUUCUUGAUCACUUCGSUGSUGGYRCMWGGCCGUUCUUAGUUGGUGGAGUGAUUUGUCUGGUUAAUUCCGUU